UCCACGCAGUAAACGUUGUACACUAGGUGUAGCGGGUAUUGACCCCUGCUGUGCCGGAGCUAACGCAUUAAGUGUACCGCCUGGGGAGUACGGUCGCAAGACUAAAACUCAAAGAAAUUGACGGGGGCCCAGGAGGAAGGUGAGGACGACGUCAAGUCAUCAUGGCCCUUAUGGCUAGGGCUACACACGUGCUACAAUGGGGCGUACAGAGAGUUGCGAUACCGCGAGGUGGAGCCAAUCUCAUAAAAGCGUCUCUCAGUUCGGAUAGCAGUCUGCAACUCGACUGCUUGAAGCUGGAAUCACUAGUAAUCGUAGAUCAGCAAUGCUACGGUGAAUACGUUCCCGGGUCUUGUACUCACCGCCCGUC
This 367-nucleotide ribosomal RNA is filed under the name uncultured bacterium. RNAcentral's name for it is "bacterial SSU rRNA". It matches the Rfam family "Bacterial small subunit ribosomal RNA", at positions 794 to 1398 of the family's 1533-position model. The record is from RNAcentral.